RNAcentral lists this ribosomal RNA (498 nucleotides) under uncultured Sphingobacteriales bacterium. RNAcentral describes it as "bacterial SSU rRNA". It matches the Rfam family "Bacterial small subunit ribosomal RNA", at positions 880 to 1382 of the family's 1533-position model. Lineage: Bacteria; Pseudomonadati; Bacteroidota; Sphingobacteriia; Sphingobacteriales. The record is from RNAcentral.
UUGCCAGCCCGCUCAGAAACUCAAAGGAAUUGACGGGGCCCGGCACAAGCGGUGGAGCAUGUGGUUUAAUUCGAUGAUACGCGAGGAACCUUACCUGGGCUCAAAUGUAUGUUGACGUAUUCUGAAAGGGAUACUUCUUCGGACAAUAUACAAGGUGCUGCAUGGUUGUCGUCAGCUCGUGCCGUGAGGUGUCGGGUUAAGUCCCAUAACGAGCGCAACCCUAUCAUUAGUUGCCAUCAGGUCAAGCUGGGGACUCUAAUGAAACUGCCUACGCAAGUAGUGAGGAAGGUGGGGAUGACGUCAAAUCAGCACGGCCCUUACGUCCAGGGCUACACACGUGCUACAAUGGCCGGUACAAAGGGCAGCUACCUGGUGACAGGAUGCUAAUCUCAAAAGCCGGUCUCAGUUCGGAUCGGAGUCUGCAACUCGCCUCCAUGAAGUCGGAAUCGCUAGUAACCGCAGAUCAGCUACGUUGCGGUGAAUACGUUCCCGGGCCUU